Transfer RNA from Ceraceosorus bombacis, 85 nucleotides. It matches the Rfam family "tRNA". From Rfam's summary of the family: Transfer RNA (tRNA) molecules are approximately 80 nucleotides in length. Their secondary structure includes four short double-helical elements and three loops (D, anti-codon, and T loops). Further hydrogen bonds mediate the characteristic L-shaped molecular structure. tRNAs have two regions of fundamental functional importance: the anti-codon, which is responsible for specific mRNA codon recognition, and the 3' end, to which the tRNAs corresponding amino acid is attached (by aminoacyl-tRNA synthetases). tRNAs cope with the degeneracy of the genetic code in two manners: having more than one tRNA (with a specific anti-codon) for a particular amino acid; and 'wobble' base-pairing, i.e. permitting non-standard base-pairing at the 3rd anti-codon position. Lineage: Eukaryota; Fungi; Basidiomycota; Exobasidiomycetes; Ceraceosorales; Ceraceosoraceae. The record is from Rfam.
GGUGCGGUAGCUCAGUGGUAGAGCGUGGGAUUGCAAUUUUGUGGCAAUUACCCCAAGGUCUCGGGUUCAAUCCCCGAUUGUGCCU